UCACACCCUAUCCCACGCCCCGUCCCUCCCUCCAACCCCCCCUUCUACAGGAGAUGGGAGAACUUUCCUCGUCAAGAUCUACCCUGCCGUAGUGCAGUCAAAUGAAAGACGAUUUCAUUUCACUACUCGGGACGCAAAGUGGCGCAGGCAAGAUUCUCUGGGAAUAUCUAAUUCCAAUGAGGAAUAUCUUACUAUAUUCACGGUUUUUUAGGGAUACAUCAGUUUACGUGUCAGUUGACUUUUUACAUGUAGUUAAUACAUUUAUGUCGCCAAACUAGGAAAAAGAUUGCGGUAGGAUACAGGACGGACGACUUGUUCCAUUGGUUUCUACGGAAAGGGAUAGAACUAAACUAAAGACGGUCCUAGUUAAAGUGAUAAAACGGUUUCAGAAUGAAUAACAGCAAAAAUGAAAAGGAGAACGAACAAAAUGAAUACACCAAUCACGAAGAGGAGGUCCGAACACUAUUCGUCAGUGGACUACCUCUGGAUAUUAAACCGAGAGAACUCUAUCUCCUGUUCAGGCCAUUUAAGGGCUAUGAAGGCUCCUUGAUAAAACUUACCUCAAAACAGCCGGUGGGGUUUGUCAGCUUUGACAGUCGAUCAGAGGCAGAGGCUGCGAAGAAUGCCUUGAACGGGGUCCGCUUCGACCCUGAGAUUCCCCAGACCUUGCGCCUGGAGUUUGCCAAGGCCAACACCAAGAUGGCCAAGAACAAGCUGGUUGGCACUCCCAACCCCCCUCCCUCCCAGCAGAGCCCUGGGCCACAGUUCAUCAGCAGAGACCCAUAUGAGCUCACAGUGCCUGCUCUAUACCCCAGCAGCCCAGACGUGUGGGCGUCAUACCCGCUCUACCCGGCUGAGCUGUCGCCAGCCCUUCCGCCAGCUUUCACCUACCCCUCCUCGCUCCACGCUCAGAUUCGCUGGCUCCCACCUGCAGACGGAGCUCCUCAGGGAUGGAAGUCCAGGCAGUUCUGCUGAAGUAUGUGUUCCUGAUGUGUGAUGGUGGCCAUGGUCGUCCAUGACGGCGCUGCCCCGCGGUUCUCUUGUCCAACCAGGACUUCUCCUGACCCCGUGUGCCACGCAAUGGACCGCCGAAGCAGCAGCUACCUCAUGGGCCUCAGAACAACCAAGAACCCCAGCCUCCAUCACACAUCGAACCCCCCCUCCCCUUCCCGCCAUUUUAUACUGUUACAUACUCAAGAACAACUGGUGACACUUUGGUUGCAAAUUGUAUACACGCUACCUUAUGGUAUACCUUUGAAAUAGGUUGAAAUAGCCUGACACGAAGCUCCACUGACGUUGACGAAAACUUUGAUGUAAUUAGCACAAGCCUUGGGGGAAUAGGCUGAGCAUUGCUUUGCAUUCUGAAGGGCGAAGCUUGCAGUUGGAGUGAAGGUCUUUGAAGGUUUGCCAGGGUUCUUAGCUUGUGUAUCUGAAUGGGAGCAAAGUGCCGCCAUGUUAUAUUAUAAUAAUGAUUAUAAUUAUUACUAUUCUGUAUACUAUUAAUAUUAAUGUUAUUAUGAUUACAUACACGAUUAAGCAUGACUUGCCAAAAAAAUUACAAUAAAUAAAAAAAUGGCAAUGCUGUACAUUUUUAGAUAUUUUAAAGAAAAACAAAAAAGUAUUUUUGUAAUCAAGACAAUGUUUGCAAUGGUUCAGUUUGAUUGGUUACUUUUGUGUGAGAGAAACCGGUUUGAAAACAACAAAAUCUUUUCUUACCUUUUCUCUUUAGAAUAAUGGGUACUGUAACUGUUGUACCAAGAACAGUUCUUUCACUUUGCAAAUCUUUCUUUGUUUUGUUAGGAUUUGCUUUGGCCUUGUGUAUUUGAGUUGACCUACAAUAUAUUCAUCAGCAUAAGCAUUGUCUCAUGAUGCCAAACAUUUGUGUUCUUUGUCUUGUUCUACUAGUUAAAAAAAACUGACGUUCUUUGCAUUUUAUUGGUGCUGGGUAAAUUGGUAUUGAAUCGGUAUUGAUAUGGUACUUAGAACACCAAACAGCAGCCAUUUUAGCCCAGUUCAGAUGGCUGUUGAGAUGCAGGCUGUUGUUCCAGCGCACCUCUGACAUACCGUACCCAACUUCUUCCUAGGUUUCAACAUAACCCAUGAUAAGAUUAAUCCAGAGUGGCUUUAUUUGAUUCGUUUUAGUCUGUAACAAAAGAUGGUAUGAGUCCUUCCUGGUACAGGUGAACUGUAGACCUCAUGCAGAUAAUGCAAGGUUGUAAAACAUAUGAACAGUCCCUGCUAAAGGAAAUCAAGUAAUGUUUUUAAGUACACUGUAUACCUGGCAGAAGGCACAGUAUACUGUAAUAACAGACCAAAGGCAUACUUUUUUAACACUGGAUAGCUAACUAGGCUAGUUUGACUGCUUUGUACUUCUGAUAUCCUUCAGAUAUCUCCUCGUGAAGUGUGCCAUUAUUUUGCUGCCUGCCUCUCCUGGUGUCACUCCAAAGAGUAUCACAACUCCUGAAAAGAACAGCUUUUCAUGUGCUGUCUCGUCUAUUUUUAGGGAAAAGGUGACUCAACCCCUGGUUUUUGUACAUUUUUGUAUUUCUACCUGUGAGUGGAGUGAGAAGUGAUGUUUCAUAUGUCAUAUCUUGCCUUUUGGAUGCUCGGUGUAGGCCUGCAAUAAUUCAUGGAUGUGAUAUAUCCGAUUUUUGAAACAUUUGGUUGGUCUAAAAGCCGCAUUUGUUUGUGGAAAUGCAAAAUAUGGCGUCCUGUGUUUCCACUUCCUUCCCAAUGACUGAGUCAGGAAUAUCAAGGUGUGUCAACCACAUGAAAACCUGCUAAGACAUGAUGCUUGAAUGUGUCAGACUGGCAUGUUGUUGUGUCCCUUUUUCAACGUGAAUAUGAUCCAGCAUCAUUUCAUAUUUCAUGUAGAAAUGUUAUUUUCAGCACACACAACUCAACAUUCGCUUUGUCAGUGUUUGAACCAAUAGUGACAUUGAUGAGUCGACAGCAACAAUCAAUUCUGGAUUAUUCUAGGAUGCCGGUCGUGUAAUUAAUACAUCAUGCUAGCAACUCUCUUCUAGAAUUGUGUGAGAGCUAUUGGUUCUGUGCUUGUUUUCAUGAUUGAAACAUUAUAAGAGUAUAUAUGAAUAUUGAAUACUGUUUUAUAAGUAAUUUCACUGUGAAACCCCCAUGAUAGCAUUAAAAAAAUAUUCAAAUCACAUGAAAGAAUUACCACCCUAGUGUCAACUGAUGAGACAUAAAAUGUGAGUUGAAAUGAUCCUUUUGUGGAACAAUGGUAUUCUCUUAUGAUUGUUGUCUUUAAUCUACUGUUGGUGUUAUUGUGUGUUUUGUGCAUGUUCUCAUGGCAUGUCCAUUUUUCUUUAUCCCUUUUCAAUGCAUAAUGUUGAUAUUUAUAUAUUACACCGCUGUGAGGAGAAAAAUAUAUUAUUUCCGUGAGUUGCAGGGGUGGGUUUGAGAUGUUUUGUUAGAACCCCAAAAAAAGAUCAAAAAGAGAGACGUUUUUAUGAAGAAGAAAAAAAUGUAAAUGAAGACAUUUCUGGGCAUCUGCCAUUAAAGAUUGACGUUAUCA
RNA transcript from Hypomesus transpacificus, 3535 nucleotides. It is a transcript of the gene named RNA-binding protein with multiple splicing-like, with no coding region annotated. The transcript is spliced from 9 exons. Lineage: Eukaryota; Metazoa; Chordata; Actinopteri; Osmeriformes; Osmeridae. The record is from RefSeq and is a predicted model, not a curated record.